Long non-coding RNA from Carassius gibelio (silver crucian carp), 419 nucleotides. RefSeq lists it as uncharacterized. The transcript has 3 exons. The record is from RefSeq and is a predicted model, not a curated record. NCBI's taxonomy places the organism in Eukaryota, Metazoa, Chordata, Actinopteri, Cypriniformes, Cyprinidae.
UUUCAUUUGGUGGCGCUGUGGCUCCUGUGUGGCAGCACUGAUUGAAAGACUGGAAAUGGAGAGAAAUGCAAAACUCAAUCCUCUGGCAUCAGAUCCAGGACACUGCUGAACAGCUGAUCUGCCGUUAGCUGUGUAAAGCUCCCAGAGCCUAGCUGAAUUAAUCACAGCCACACGGACACGCGGGGGGCAGCCUGAGGAUGAGGACCGAGAGAAGGCUUGGGAAGAAACCAUGCUGUGAGAAAAGAGUCAGAGCUGUAACAUCCAUGGAUUGGAAGGGAAUACGCCGUUAGCCCAGUCUGCUUGCUCAUUACACGGCUGGAGUGUUUAGAAGUGGGGGUUUUUUUCAGACUGCAGACUGUUAUUCACUGUUGACAUCAGACUGCGUUCUGAAAUUAUCAAGUGAUUUACUGUCUUGUGAA